RNAcentral lists this ribosomal RNA (253 nucleotides) under uncultured bacterium. Its description in RNAcentral is "partial 16S ribosomal RNA". It matches the Rfam family "Bacterial small subunit ribosomal RNA", at positions 524 to 776 of the family's 1533-position model. The record is from RNAcentral.
UACGAAGGGGGCUAGCGUUGCUCGGAAUCACUGGGCGUAAAGCGCACGUAGGCGGAUUGUUAAGUCAGGGGUGAAAGUCCGGGGCUCAACUCCGGAUCUGCGGUGGGUACGGGCAGACUAGAGUGAUGUAGGGGAGACUGGAAUUCCUGGUGUAGCGGUGAAAUGCGCAGAUAUCAGGAGGAACACCGGUGGCGAAGGCGGGUCUCUGGGCCGAUACUGACGCUGAGGAGCGAAAGCGUGGGGAGCGAACAGG